GGUCGACGAUUAACGCGAAGAACCUUACCUGGGCUUGACAUGGUGGUGGUAGGGAAGCGAAAGCGGACCGACCUUCGGGAGCCAUCACAGGUGCUGCAUGGCUGUCGUCAGCUCGUGUCGUGAGAUGUUCGGUUAAGUCCGGUAACGAGCGCAACCCUCGCCGUUAGUUACAAGUGUCUAGCGGGACUGCCCGUAGAAAGCGGGAGGAAGGUGGGGAUGACGUCAAGUCAGCAUGGCCUUAAUGUCCAGGGCUACACACACGCUACAAUGGCCGGUCCAAUGGGUCGCCAACCCGCGAGGGGGAGCCAAUCCAAGAAAGCCGGUCGUAGUUCGGAUUGCAGGCUGCAACCCGCCUGCAUGAAGUCGGAGUUGCUAGUAAACGCCGGUCAGCCAUACGGCGUUGAAUACGUUCCCGGGUCUUGUACACACCG
RNAcentral lists this ribosomal RNA (431 nucleotides) under uncultured Chloroflexota bacterium. RNAcentral's name for it is "bacterial SSU rRNA". It matches the Rfam family "Bacterial small subunit ribosomal RNA", at positions 949 to 1392 of the family's 1533-position model. The record is from RNAcentral. Lineage: Bacteria; Bacillati; Chloroflexota.